CCCUUAGAUGUCCUGGGCCGCACGCGCGCUACACUGAGUGUCUGAGAUACGAGUCUGCCUGGUCCGGCAAGGUCUAGGUAAUCGCUAAAAGACACAUCAUGCUUGGGAUAGAUUAUUGCAAAUAUUAAUCUUGAACGAGGAAUUCCUAGUAAGCGCAAGUCAACAGCUUGCGUUGAUUACGUCCCUGCCCUUUGUACACACCGCCCGUCGCUACUACUGAUUGGAUGUUUAAGCGAGGUUCUCGAACUGCUAGCGACUUAGCUUCGGUGAGGUCGCAGUGUGGGAAGUGAACCUAGCUUUGGUGUUUAGAGGAAGUAAAAGUCGUAACA
This 329-nucleotide ribosomal RNA is filed under the name uncultured eukaryote. RNAcentral describes it as "partial 18S ribosomal RNA". It matches the Rfam family "Eukaryotic small subunit ribosomal RNA", at positions 1470 to 1796 of the family's 1831-position model. The record is from RNAcentral.